Molecule: long non-coding RNA, 3554 nt
Organism: Vicia villosa (hairy vetch)
Lineage: Eukaryota; Viridiplantae; Streptophyta; Magnoliopsida; Fabales; Fabaceae
Exons: 3
Source: RefSeq, a predicted model, not a curated record
GUGAUUGAGGCUUUUACACGGCAGACAAAACCAAACACAAUUCCAAUAUUUCCCUCUCUCUCUUUCUUUUUUCAAAAAAUUCUAAAAAAAAGUUUCUGAUAAUCACUUCUAUCUUUUUUACGUCUACCCCUUUUCUCUCUGUUACCCCAUCAAACCCUAACACUGCUGAACUCAUACCCAUCGACAACUCGCCACUUUCUUCCCUCUACCGGAUACGACUUUGUUCCUCUGCAACCGUCUUCAUCUUCUUCAAACAAAAGGUAUUGUUGUCCAAUUUCUUCCUUUUUCGUGUUUUGAUUCGUUAUUGAAUCUUCCAAUGGUCCUUCCUGUUUUUUCCUUUGCAUCCAUUUUCUGUUUUGAAAUCUGAACUGCUAAUGUUUGGUUUUUUAAAUUUGGUGUUUUUUAAAAUUUUGUGAUAAGCUAUCCUUUGGCGAAAGCGCCGAGCAAGAUGCAAGAUCGGUGCAUUUAGAGGUAACUCAGUUAUUUAUUUAUUUUUAUUUAUUUAUUGUUUGCAAUUUGAAUGGGUUUGUUUUUGUUUGUGGUUGAUGUCAUUUUCUUAUCAUGAAAGUGGUUGAUUUAUCACCGUGUUUAUUGUGUGGUCAGUGGGUAUUGGGUUUGUUCUGUAGGCGUGGAACUGCUUUCAAGGAGAAGAAUAUUGCACUUUCAAUCUUGCUUACAAAGUGUUUAAUGAAAUACCUUCGCUGGUUUCUUUAUUCUUUCUCUUAUGCUUUCUAUGUUUUUUGCUAUAGCAUUGUUGUUGUGUUUACAUGAGAAAUCUGUUAUAUCAUUGAGAUCGUGCUUCGAGAUCUUCUAGGUGGUCCGAACAACACUGUCCAAACUCUUGUAAAUCCUCAAUGUUGUGUUGAAAAUAUAAAUUUAAUGGUUUCAUGCUUUAUACAAAUAUAAGUUGAAUGAUGAUUUGCAUUGUUUUUUCAGUUGCAUCAUGGGUUUAAUCUGAUUUACUAACUCUGUGAAUCAGGUUGUAAGUUAUGAUAUUGCGGAUCUGAUCUUAAAGCAAUGGUAAGUCCCAUACCUGUAUGAAUUUUCAAGUAAAAAAAUUUAGUUUCUCACCUCUUGAUAACUUUAUCGAUUGCCCUAGAAGUAUAAAAUAAGUAUAAGUGAGAACUGGUUUAUUAUUGUGUUGUGUCCUAUCAACUUUUGAUUGAUUCCUCUGCAAUACCUUGACUGUGUUGUGUAGUUUUUAUUUCUUAUUGUUUCACACUUUCUCCAUUACUUCCUCCUGUCCUAAAUAUCAGAGAAAGUUAGAUGGGUAAACAAUAAUUGAUGAAUUCCAUUUCACUUUUUUUAUUCCAUUUGGUCCUUAACAAAAUGGUAUUUGUAAACCAGGUGACGCAGUUGCUGAUCUUUAUCGAUUGGAGCUGCUUCUAUCAUAAAGAUAUGUAUUGGAAGGGCUAUGUUAUGUUCCAACUUUUAUGCUCUUGUUAAAUUAAAUUAUGUGUUGUUUGUCUACAGUAUAAUGUAGGAUUUAACUUUUAGCAGGUUUUGGUAUUUUCUAUAAUAUUGUUGAGUACUUGUGGAUGAGAUUCUCAUGAAAAUAACAUUGUUUGUGAUUACCAAGAGAAUAUUGGAAUCUAAACUAAUUACAACACAGUUAUAUUUAUCAUCAGGUUUAAUCCCCUUAUGCCCUACUUAUUAUUGAAAUCUACUCCAUUUGGUACUAACCAAUUCAUAUAAUAUUUAUUGGAAUGUGAUAAAUGUUACACUGGAUCCUCCUCUUUCCGUUAGAAAGGAUCUUAUAGAGCAUUAUGAUAUUCAACCCGAUGUUCUUAUUAUUGUUGGCAAUCCUGGAUGUGUUUUGUCUAUCUAUUUUGACAGCCUCUUUGGUUUGUCAGCAGAAGGAGUUUGUUUGGAUGUGGUGAAUCGCAAUCCUUGUCUAUUGUCGUCGUAUAACAUGGUUGAAUUCAAAUCUUUUCAUGUGGUUCGGUUAAGCUCUUUCUCAUGUGUGCUAUCCCAAAAUGUUUCACAAACAGUUUCAUAAAUAUCUGCUUCUCAAACAACAUAUGAAGUAAAGACUUUCUCAAAAAUGAGAGAAGUCAAAACAAUUGGAGAAAUUGUUAUCCUCUAACCUGAAUCAUAUGUCGAUACUAUUGGAACUACAAUGCAAUUUAGAGCUGACAAUAGUAGCUGGUACAUGAAUAUCAAGUCCCUAAUUUUGCAUCCAUUGAUAGUGCAACAUGUUACCUUUAUUCAUUUUUAUGGAAGUUUGUUUGUUUCCUGGUUUUCUUUGUACUUUAUAAAUUUGUGUAGGGUCCUUAAAACCAUAAAAAUAUAUGUGUUAAGCUGCAUAUUAGGAAUAACACUACUUGCCAUGUAUGAAUAUAAACUCUGCUUUCUGUUUUAUUGUUUAAUUUUUUUAUUUGAAUUUACUCUCAUUGACAUAACAAUCAUUGCACUAAAGAGGUUUAAUCCAUUCUAGAAUUAUGAAGUUUGCCUCACCUGUGGAAAUUAUGGCUAAUAGUCUAGAUGUAGUAUCUUAUUUUAACGAGUUGUUUCGACAGUAUAUUUGUCAUCCUUUAGAUGAGUGUGAUAAUGACAUUCUUUAUUGAUUAUGAGGUUACAGUUCUUGGAGUGGUUGAUGUCUUGUUCUGAAAUUGUGUCUUGGAAUAUAUUAUUGAAGAAUGUAGUUGUAGUGGAGCAUUGAAUAAAUUGAAGAAUCAAAUAAAUUACCAGUAAUGCACCGACAAAUUCUACACAUCCAUUACAUUUUGUACACACUGCUUUCUAUGAGUAUAACAUAAUUCAACUUAUGUACAUUUCAUAUAAUAUAUAGGGAAAUUCUUAAUGGUGCAACUCAUUUUGUAUACGAAAGCAUACGAACAACAUGGCAUAGCAGUAAAAGUCUAAUCUUGGCAUACAUCAACUGCCUACCUUCUUUCUUAAAACAACACCACACAUUGUCGUUUCACAAUUUGCAUCAAUAUAUGACUGACAUGGUUGCCAUAAAAUUAGAUGUAUCUCCAUUAGAUUGUAUGAGUCUGUUGAGUAUAAUAUUUUAAUCUUACACACACCUCUGAGAGCCCAUGAAUUUGGAUUUUGCUUCAAUUUGAGGCACUGAAUAACUAUGACUUGCAUGUAUUAGUGGUAGAUACAAGAAUUAUGAUCACCUUAGUUUUCAAUUAUGGAAGUCACAAAAUUGUUCCCCGCAUGAAGAAGAGAGACGAUUCCUAUUAAUUAAGAGCUAUCGUGUUUUUAUUUAUACAUUUAUUUUUACUAUAUACUAGUAGGAAACCCGUGCUGUCGCACGGGUCUGGUCGGGAUUUCACAUUACUUGUAUCUAAUUGUGACUUACAAAAUUCUUUUAUAUAUAUCAAACAUUUACGCAAUAGUUUGUAUUUCAUAGAUCUGUUCACAUCUACCCGUGAAUUCAGAUGAGUUAAUAAACCCCAAUUAUAGUUAGUAUUUCAUAUAUAUGUUCACAUCUACCCGUGAAUCCAGAUGAGUUAAUAAACUCCAAUUAAAUCCAAAUGAGUUAAUUUUAAAAUUUUAUUAAAUCUCUUUUAGAUAUUAUUCUAUUUUUUAAACCUAAAAUAUAU